RNAcentral lists this ribosomal RNA (369 nucleotides) under uncultured bacterium. RNAcentral's name for it is "bacterial SSU rRNA". It matches the Rfam family "Bacterial small subunit ribosomal RNA", at positions 527 to 896 of the family's 1533-position model. The record is from RNAcentral.
GGAGGGUGCAAGCGUUAAUCGGAAUUACUGGGCGUAAAGCGCACGCAGGCGGUUUGUUAAGUCAGAUGUGAAAUCCCCGCGCUCAACGUGGGAACGGCAUUUGAGACUGGCAAGCUAGAGUCUUGUAGAGGGGGUAGAAUUCCAGGUGUAGCGGUGAAAUGCGUAGAGAUCUGGAGGAAUACCGGUGGCGAAGGCGGCCCCCUGGACAAAGACUGACGCUCAGGUGCGAAAGCGUGGGAGCAACAGGAUUAGAUACCCUGGUAGUCCACGCUGUAAACGAUGUCGAUUUGGAGGUUUGCGCCCCUUGAGGGGUGGCUUCCGUAGCUAACGCGUUAAAUCGACCGCCUGGGGAGUACGGCCGCAAGGUUA